UCCCUACGGGGCGCAGCAGUGGGGGAUAUUGCACAAUGGGGGGAACCCUGAUGCAGCGACGCCGCGUGGGUGAAGGAGCGUUUCGGCGCGUAAAGCCCUAUCGGCAGGGAAGAAGGAGGACGGUACCUGACUAAGAAGCCCCGGCUAACUACGUGCCAGCAGCCGCGGUAAUACGUAGGGGGCGAGCGUUAUCCGGAUUUACUGGGUGUAAAGGGGGCGCAGACGGCAGCGCAAGCCAGGAGUGAAAGCCCGGGGCCCCGCCCCGGGACUGCUCUUGGAACUUCGCGGCUGGCGUGCGGGGGGGG
RNAcentral lists this ribosomal RNA (305 nucleotides) under uncultured bacterium. Its description in RNAcentral is "partial 16S ribosomal RNA". It matches the Rfam family "Bacterial small subunit ribosomal RNA", at positions 335 to 657 of the family's 1533-position model. The record is from RNAcentral.